UUUGGGGAAGCGGAGGGACAUUACCGAGUUAUACAACUCAUCAACCCUGUGAACAUACCUAAAACGUUGCUUCGGCGGGAACAGACGGCCCUGUAACAACGGGCCGCCCCCGCCAGAGGACCCCUAACUCUGUUUUUAUAAUGUUUUUCUGAGUAAACAAGCAAAUAAAUUAAAACUUUCAACAACGGAUCUCUUGGCUCUGGCAUCGAUGAAGAACGCAGCGAAAUGCGAUAAGUAAUGUGAAUUGCAGAAUUCAGUGAAUCAUCGAAUCUUUGAACGCACAUUGCGCCCGCCAGUAUUCUGGCGGGCAUGCCUGUUCGAGCGUCAUUACAACCCUCAGGCCCCCGGGCCUGGCGUUGGGGAUCGGCGGAAGCCCCCUGUGGGCACACGCCGUCCCUCAAAUACAGUGGCGGUCCCGCCGCAGCUUCCAUUGCGUAGUAGCUAACACCUCGCAACUGGAGAGCGGCGCGGCCAUGCCGUAAAACACCCAACUUCUGAAUGUUGACCUCGAAUCAGGUAGGAAUACCCGCUGAACUUAAGCAUAUCAAAGCGGGGAGAGAAAUC
Molecule: ribosomal RNA, 564 nt
Filed under: Fusarium solani
Lineage: Eukaryota; Fungi; Ascomycota; Sordariomycetes; Hypocreales; Nectriaceae
Description: eukaryotic LSU rRNA
Rfam family: 5.8S ribosomal RNA (bases 174-327)
Source: RNAcentral